CCGAGUUGGAUGUGUUUCAGACAUCCUCUGUGAAGCCAAGCGCCAAUUGAAAUCUACACGAAAAAAAACGCGCAACAAGUUUUCUCCUUCAUCACUCCUCUCGAGCAGGGUUGCCUUGUGGUUGGGGUUUAAUUCGUACAUCUGUAGUUACAAUCAACUGGUUGGUGGAAAUUUCAGUUCCCCCGUCGGAGUGCGAAACCCGCAUAAUUGACUAGUAACUCUUAUUAGUGUAACGACGUGUCGGUUCCAUACCUUCAAAAUGCCAGUGAAUGCACUCUACUAAAUCAACAGAAUAGUGUUAAAAAGCUCUGUUUGCUCUAGACAUAAAACAAAUCAAAUUAAAUUAAACAAGAGGCCAACUAAGGUGUCGAUGGAAUCGUUGUAUAUGGUGUAAAGAAAAUUAAAUGCUAUAAGGUAAACGGCGCACAAAACAAUAACAAAGUGAAAUUUCCGGCGCCAUACAUUGAUGUCUCCGGAGACGAGAGUCGUGGAUUUUUGCGAUUAAUUUGAUUUUUAUUGCGGAAUGCGAGUGCACAGCAUGAUUGAUGGACGAGAUGAAGAAAAACAGGAUAUUGCUUGCACAUUGCUGUAAUCGAUGAACAGUGUUGAGCUGUACGAGCGCUCGACAUAUUCCAGCAGCGAGCGCCACAUGGAAUAAAAAGAGAUUAGUGCCACUAAUGGCCUACCAGGAGCUAAUUAUUCCACUCAUCCAGCUGGACAAUUUUGCACACUUCAUCGGGUCCAUAACCACGAGACAGUUUGGUCAGCCCCAUCAUAACGCUGUCCUGCAAUGGAAGGCGAGGUUAGCGUUCUACUCGUGAUAACAGUGAUAAUCGGUACGGUGCUGAUGACAUCGUUGCUCGCGUGCUACAUUUGUGUGUUUAGACAGUUGUGCUGUUCUAGCGAAUUAAACCUAGACCGCAACUAUAGCCAACGAAGUUCGAAAAGGACAUACACUCUCCGUGACAGCACGAACAUGGGAGAAAUCACCAACAUCACCAGCCAGCAGACGGAAAUUGAAAAGGUCUAGCCUAGGCCGAGCGAGGUUAUUACUUCGCUCUGAAAACCUGCCCAGAGAGAAAAUUAAAUCACAUUAAAUGCAACGGUAAUGACCGUUUUUGUGUAACUCUAAAAUGGAUUAGAUUUGUAGUAAUCAAAGCAUAGCAUUUAUGGGGGAGGUCCCUCAGCGCCGGGCACCUUCCAAUACUUUGCACUUUGAGAAGUUCUACGAACAUCUUAUGAAGUACAAAAGAAAACUAUUUUGAAAUCUAACCUUGAUUCACCAGCGCAUCAUAAAAUUAUCAUGUUUUUAAUUUUACAAUUGAAUUACAUUGACCAUUUUAAAAUAUAUCAAACCUCUACAAGAAGUGUAGAGAUGAUAAAUGAAUUUUAAUAAAAAUAUGUCCAAAUUCUCAAAUAUGAUUCAUAUGAAUCAUAAUCGAUAAUAUUGUGUGUCUAUGGAGUGCCAGUCAACAUAACCCGGAUAGUUUGAGAAUUUUACGGUAAAUUGCUUAGGUGUCACGCACUGGGUGAUCCCACGUUACAUAUUAGUGUUGAAUUUAUUACAUACUAGCGGUAUGUACCCGGCCUUGCUCGGGAUUAAUGAGUAGAAUUUACAAUUCAAAUACGAAAUGUUGAAACCGAUUGCAGCGCCCCACUCUUUAUUAAUUUUGUAUAAGAAUAUGUAUAUACAACUGGAUUGUAUCUCGAUGCGUUCUAUAACUUGUUUUGCUUCACAGAGUGACUGUACCUACUUUGGCUACAAAUUCAAAUAAAAUGCCAAAUUUUCUACAAUGUUCUUGGUGCCAAAAGGGAUUUUUACCAUAUUAAAACUGAUCGCUUUUUACAUAAAAAUAUGUUAUUCUUUUGGGUGCACAAGUUAGGAAUUAAUAUGACCAAAAUUUUUACACACUACAAUAAUUUUAAAAUUAUACCUCUCAAAGUCGUUAUACUCUUACUCAACGGUCCUUUUAUAUCGAGUGAAGGAGAGUUCACUUCACAUUGAUGAAUAAAUAGAUAUACGAUAUUCAGGAGCAGGUACCAUAACGUGUCUAUAAGACUUUCGCUAGUCAAACACGGGUCGUAAAAUAACAUAAUCCAAAGUGGAAGCAAAAUUGAACUUUCGAUUGAAAAGUAGUUAGCGAGCAUACACAAAAAAGAUUUAAAAAAAUGAUAUAUAGAUAGAUUAAAUAUAAGAAAGCCCUUGAAACAACGCUACUGAGAGGAUGUAACUAAUUUUUAUAUCAACGCUUAAUAACUCUAAACCAACUGACAUGGGUGAAUAUAAUUGCUCUCUUUAUUAUAGUUCUGUAAACAAGUGUAAUAGGAAUAAAGAAAAAUUAAGUGUAUCUAUUGAAAUGUGUAAAGAAAAUGUAAGUUGAAACAAAAGAGUAAAA
This is a long non-coding RNA of Armigeres subalbatus, 2396 nucleotides long. RefSeq lists it as uncharacterized. NCBI's taxonomy places the organism in Eukaryota, Metazoa, Arthropoda, Insecta, Diptera, Culicidae. The transcript is spliced from 3 exons. The record is from RefSeq and is a predicted model, not a curated record.